RNAcentral lists this long non-coding RNA (2124 nucleotides) under Heterocephalus glaber (naked mole-rat). RNAcentral's name for it is "lncRNA (ENSHGLG00100048654.1)". The record is from RNAcentral. Lineage: Eukaryota; Metazoa; Chordata; Mammalia; Rodentia; Bathyergidae.
GGCCGGUGUUGACUUGCUGUGCUCAGGAAUAGAGAAGUAUACAAAAGGCUGCAGAUUUCCUGGCUAUGUGGGAAAGCCAUAAUCAGUGCUCCUGAGGCAGGGCAGCAUCUGCUGAGGGCACACAAAAUGCAGGCAUCCUGGUGCAGGGAGGGACCUCAGCUUGUUCCCUUUGAGAUGCUAACCUUGUUCCCCAUCUUGCUCCCCCCAUCUACUGCAGCUGCUCUUCCUAGAAAAGUACACUACCCCUUCCCCUGCACUUCUUGCUGAAUAACAAAAGCAGGUCCACCGUGGAGUUUGUAGAGUCUGUCCACUAGAGUCAGGCUUAUCCUGGUCCCCCUUGUACCUUGAAUAUUGUCUCUGUCUCUUUCUUUUAUUCCCUGUCAUCCUUCCUACAGGUAUUCGAGGGUCUGAUCAGCCCCGGACAAUGUGACAUUACACAGCUCUAAUAAGGGAUAAAUCUGCUGUUGGUCUCAACAACAUGGGUGAAUCUCAGCCGCACUGUGCUGAGGGACAGCUGCUGACUGAGAGCUCGUAUAUCGCCUGAGUGCAUUCAUACAGCAUUCUGGAAAAGGCCAGGCUGGUGGGAUGGGAGGCAAUAGUGGCUACGAGGAGCUGAGUGCUGUGGGGAUGCAGAGGAUGGAGGGAACCUCCUGAAAGGAUUCCGCAGACUGUGAUGUAAGUUCCGAGACAUGCAUCUCCGGAGCUCACUGAACUCUACUCUUUUCCUGGAUGUAAAUUAUUCCUCAAUCAAUCCGCUUUCUGAAUACAACACUCUCUAACCCUCCUCAGGACCCUGUCCAGAUCCCAGCAUCUCCUUAUGUUGCCCAGCAGCAAGGGCUCAACUGGGAAAAUCUGAGAGCCCACGAGUCCUGGACAGGACCUGAGCCCCCGAGGGGCUGUGGACCAUCGGAGAAGAGACUGUCCUAAGACCCUCCGGGCACCAGCUCGUCCUGCCCCCUCUUCCCCAACUCGAAUGCUCCAGGGCUCAGCCAGGGCCAGGCACCCUCAAGAAUCCUGGAUUUGCAGCAUGGUCGGUCUGGAGAAGAACCCACCCUCAGCUGGUCCCAGGCUGUCAUAGAGCACAGCCUCGAGCUUCUGCCACCCACCGCCAUGUCGAAGACAUCCCUGCUUGGACAGGCCCACAGCAGCCCGCUGGACUUGGACAGCCGGCCCAGGACCCCUGUGGCAAGUGGUUUCUUGCUGGUGAAGCCAGCUCAUUGUCCUGAGUAGAUCCUCUCUUUCAGUGCCACCUGCUCUUCAGGACCCAAGAAGGUUGAUCUUGUGGCUCUGCAGGGUACCCUCAUGUCCCCUAGAACCCAGAUAGAACAGCCACCCCUAACAUGGGCUGCUGGAUUCCAGGAGCAAUUUCCCAUCUUAGGCUGAAGGCUCUUUUUUCUUUCUUCCAUUUUAGACUCUCUGUCUUCUCUCUCUCUCUCUCUCUCUCUCUCUCUCUCUCUCUCUCUCUCUCUCUCUCCCCCCUUUCCCCCUCCUCCAGGAAACAUAAGGACAUAAAGUCACCUUGUAAUUCCAUGUCCUACUUUUUCUGUCCCCCAAAUGGAACUUUUUCUCUAGGACUUUACUGCCAGCAAGACUGUUAUAUAGUGAUCAGAUUGGGUAGUACCCAUGAGCUGUGAUGACACUGUGACAAUACUCAGUGUUGAUAAGCAUACUGGGAAAUGCCUGCUUUUGUGGAAGAAUCAAAUUAGUACCUCUCUGAAUGACAGUGUUUUAUGUCAAAUCCUAAAAUAUCAUUUGUAUAAAGCAUACAGCUACUUAUUUGGCAUGUCCUAUCUUGGAAAGUGCACACACGUUACACAUACAUGUACAUAGGUAACCAAAAGCAGCAGCUACCUGUGGGGAAGGAAAUUGGGAGGCUGAGAGACAGAAGAGAGAGAUUUCUAUUCAUUACACAUUAUUAUUCAUUAUUGUGCUUUGCUUUUAACUUUUGAAUUUCUUAUUGUUAUUCCCUAAUUUUGUUCUUCAGUAUAAUUAAAUAAAAAUAAAUGUAUCUUUUUAUCAAUUAUGCCAUUUCUAGGAAUUUUUCUAAGGUUUCAGUGCCUUGGCCUGAGAGGAAAGCAGAUCUCUAGGGGCUCCUCGAGGUCCGCUUCACCUCCCCAAAUGACG